This 383-nucleotide ribosomal RNA is filed under the name uncultured bacterium. RNAcentral describes it as "bacterial SSU rRNA". It matches the Rfam family "Bacterial small subunit ribosomal RNA", at positions 28 to 412 of the family's 1533-position model. The record is from RNAcentral.
GACGAAUGCUGGCUGCGUGCUUAACACAUGCAAGUCGAACGGUGAACAGGGGCUUGCCCCUGGGAUCAGUGGCGAACGGGUGAGUAACACGUGGGCAACCUGCCCCUCACUCUGGGAUAACUCCGGGAAACCGGGGCUAAUACCGGAUACGACCUGACACGACAUCGGGUCUGGUGGAAAGAACUUCGGUGAGGGAUGGGCCCGCGGCCUAUCAGCUAGUUGGUGAGGUAACGGCUCACCAAGGCGACGACGGGUAGCCGGCCUGAGAGGGCGACCGGCCACACUGGGACUGAGACACGGCCCAGACUCCUACGGGAGGCAGCAGUGGGGAAUAUUGCGCAAUGGGCGAAAGCCUGACGCAGCGACGCAGCGUGAGGGACGAC